This 454-nucleotide ribosomal RNA is filed under the name uncultured bacterium. RNAcentral's name for it is "bacterial SSU rRNA". It matches the Rfam family "Bacterial small subunit ribosomal RNA", at positions 29 to 524 of the family's 1533-position model. The record is from RNAcentral.
AACGAACGCUGGCGGCAGGCCUAACACAUGCAAGUCGAACGCCCGUAGCAAUACGGGAGUGGCAGACGGGUGAGUAACGCGUGGGAACGUGCCCUUCGGUUCGGAAUAACUCAGGGAAACUUGAGCUAAUACCGGAUACGUCCGUAAGGAGAAAGAUUUAUCGCCGAAGGAUCGGCCCGCGUCGGAUUAGCUAGUUGGUGAGGUAACGGCCCACCAAGGCGACGAUCCGUAGCUGGUCUGAGAGGANGAUCAGCCACACUGGGACUGAGACACGGCCCAGACUCCUACGGGAGGCAGCAGUGGGGAAUAUUGGACAAUGGGCGAAAGCCUGAUCCAGCCAUGCCGCGUGAGUGAAGAAGGCCUUAGGGUUGUAAAGCUCUUUCAGCGGGAAGAUAAUGACGGUACCCGCAGAAGAAGCCCCGGCUAACUUCGUGACAGCAGCCGCCGCGGUAAC